UAGGGAAUCUUCCACAAUGGACGCAAGUCUGAUGGAGCAACGCCGCGUGAGUGAAGAAGGUUUUCGGACCGUAAAGCUCUGUUGUUGGUGAAGAAGGAUAGAGGUAGUAACUGGCCUUUAUUUGACGGUAAUCAACCAGAAAGUCACGGCUAACUACGUGCCAGCAGCCGCGGUAAUACGUAGGUGGCAAGCGUUGUCCGGAUUUAUUGGGCGUAAAGCGAGCGCAGGCGGAAGAAUAAGUCUGAUGUGAAAGCCCUCGGCUUAACCGAGGAAUUGCAUCGGAAACUGUUUUCUUGAGUGCAGAAGAGGAGAGUAGAACUCCAUGUGUAGCGGUGGAAUGCGUAGAUAUAUGGAAGAAUACCAGUGGCGAAGGCGGCUCUCUGGUCUGCAACUGACGCUGAGGCUCGAAAGCAUGGGUAGCGAACAGGAUUAGAUACCCUGGUAGUCCAUGCCGUAAACGAUGAGUGCUAAGUGUUGGGAGGCUUCCGCCUCUCAGUGCUGCAGCUAACGCAUUAAGCACUCCGCCUGGGGG
RNAcentral lists this ribosomal RNA (532 nucleotides) under uncultured bacterium. RNAcentral's name for it is "partial 16S ribosomal RNA". It matches the Rfam family "Bacterial small subunit ribosomal RNA", at positions 355 to 879 of the family's 1533-position model. The record is from RNAcentral.